GUUGAACGCUGGCGGCGUGCUUAACACAUGCAAGUCGAGCGGGUGAGUUCUUCGGAACGAUCUAGCGGCGGACGGGUGAGUAACACGUGGGCAACCUGCCUCAUAGAGGGGAAUAGCCUCCCGCAAGGGAGAACAAUACUGCAUAAUAUUAUCGAGGGGCAUCACAUGAUAAUCAUAGGAGUAAUCCGCGAUGAGAUGGGCCCGCGGUGCAUUAGCUAGUUGGUGAGGUAACGGCUCACCAAGGCGACGAUGCGUAGCCGACCUGAGAGGGUGGUCGGCGACAUUGGGACGAAGACACGGUCCGGACACCUACGGGAGGCAGGAGAGGGGAAUAUUGCACAAUGGGGGAAGCCCUGAUGGAGCUACGCCGCGUGAGUGAUGAAGGUCUUCGGAUUGUAAAGCUCUGUCUUUGGGGGCGAUAAUGACGGUACCCAAGGAGGAAGCCACGGCUAACUACGUGCCAGCAGCCGCGGUAA
RNAcentral lists this ribosomal RNA (476 nucleotides) under uncultured bacterium. Its description in RNAcentral is "partial 16S ribosomal RNA". It matches the Rfam family "Bacterial small subunit ribosomal RNA", at positions 28 to 523 of the family's 1533-position model. The record is from RNAcentral.